AACGAACGCUGGCGGCGUGCCUAACACAUGCAAGUCGAGCGCGAACGAUUCCUUCGGGGAUCUAGUAGAGCGGCGAACGGGUGAGUAACGCGUGGGUAACCUGCCCUCUGGUGGGGAAUAACUUCGGGAAACUGGGGGCUAAUGCCGCAUCAGCUCCUCGUCCUUGCGGGGACUUGGAGGAAAGCAUGCCUCUGCUUCAAGCAUGCGCCAGAGGAGGGGCCCGCGUCCCAUUAGCUUGUUGGUGGGGUAAUGGCCUACCAAGGCGACGAUGGGUAGCCGGCCUGAGAGGGUGUCCGGCCACACUGGGACUGAGACACGGCCCAG
Molecule: ribosomal RNA, 324 nt
Filed under: uncultured bacterium
Lineage: Bacteria
Description: bacterial SSU rRNA
Rfam family: Bacterial small subunit ribosomal RNA
Source: RNAcentral